This 215-nucleotide small nucleolar RNA is filed under the name Rosa chinensis. Its description in RNAcentral is "sRNA RchiOBHm_Chr5g0063161". It matches the Rfam family "Plant small nucleolar RNA U3". From Rfam's summary of the family: Small nucleolar RNAs (snoRNAs) are involved in the processing and modification of rRNA in the nucleolus. There are two main classes of snoRNAs: the box C/D class, and the box H/ACA class. U3 snoRNA is a member of the box C/D class. Lineage: Eukaryota; Viridiplantae; Streptophyta; Magnoliopsida; Rosales; Rosaceae. The record is from Rfam by way of RNAcentral.
ACGACCUUACUUGAACAGGAUCUGUUCUAUAGGAUCGUACCUCUGUGUCCUUGACUUCUAAGGAGACAGGAAUUUAAACCUGGUGGAUGAAUCAUAGCCAUGCGAUCAGAGCGUGAUUAACGGCUGGUGAUCUUCGGGUCACCAUGGCUGUAGAUGAUCGUUCUCAGCUUGGGUCCCCCCAAGUCUGGGGUGGUCGCUUGGCUGUCUGACAGGUU